This 780-nucleotide long non-coding RNA is filed under the name Setaria italica (foxtail millet). RNAcentral describes it as "long non-coding RNA (SITA_LNC007538)". Lineage: Eukaryota; Viridiplantae; Streptophyta; Magnoliopsida; Poales; Poaceae. The record is from RNAcentral.
ACUUUCUGUUUUCCAUGGGUAGUGCCUCUGGUCAAGCCAAAUUAUUUAUGCUUAAAUAAACUUAAGCAAAUGUGAGUUUAAAAGAUAAAACUACGGUUGUCAUUCUGUGACUACAAUCAACCCUAAUCGAACAAUGGUAAAUUAUACAGUGGGAGUUCAAUUGAUGCACCUGGCUCUGUUCUUUACUUUUCUUGGUAUCCAUCACACACUUGAAUGGCAAAUCUUGGAUGUCUGAAGUGUCUUUUUUUCUGAACCAUGUUUUUGCUUGUUAUUAUGAAAUUUUGCUCGUCACUGAUUGUGAAUCUCUUGUCAACAGGAAGCUGCCAAGGGUGGUGAUGAUGAGGACGAUGACCUAGAGGUAAGCACUGCAUCUAUCUUAAUUCUCCCUGGGUCAUUUACUAUCCUCGGCAUUCUACUUGAUCUAAAUUCUACAUAUGUUGACCUCAGGAUGAGGAAGAUGAUGAGAAGGCAGACGAGGACAAGGCUGACUCCGAUGCUGAGGACGGCAAGGAUUCUGAUGAUGAGAAGCACGUAAGUUGCCCUCCAUUUGAAAUCCCUCAGUUCUGACCAAACAAUUUCCCAUGUGCCAAUCUAUGUCCUCAUACUAUGCAAUGAAUUCCAUUUCCAGGACGAGCUCUAGAUGGAGAGGAUGAAGAGGUGGCCGCCGACCUUGGAGCCGUAGGCCAAGAUUUAUCAGUUCUCCCAUUAUGAAGUUCCCAUUUUUCGUGAUCAGAAACUUUGACGCGUGUGUAGAAACAUUCGCUAAGAAGCUGAGGGACA